UUGGACCUGAUAUCAGACA
Molecule: ribosomal RNA, 19 nt
Filed under: Globisporangium sylvaticum
Lineage: Eukaryota; Oomycota; Peronosporomycetes; Pythiales; Pythiaceae
Also listed under: 5 other names
Description: Pythium sylvaticum partial 28S ribosomal RNA
Source: RNAcentral